CGAAGGUAGCAUAAUCAUUAGUUCUUUAAUUGAGAACUUGUAUGAAUGGUCGGACAAGAGAAAAGCUGUCUCUAAUAUUAAAAUUGAAAUUGACUUUUAAGUGAAAAGGCUUAAAUAUAUCAGGGGGACGAUAAGACCCUAUAAAGCUUUAUAUGUUGGUAUAAUUUAAUUUAAUUGAAAAUAUAAAAAUUUAUUUAAAUAGACAUAUUUAGUUGGGGCGACUAAGGUAUAAUUAUUAGUAACUGAUUGAAGCUAAAUCAAUGAUGGUUGAUUUACUUAUAAUUGAUCCUUAUUAAAGAUUAAAGAUUAAGUUACUUUAGGGAUAACAGCGUAAUUUUUUCUGAGAGUCCAUAUCGAAGAAAAAGUUUGCGACCUCGAUGUUGAAUUAAAAUGUCUUUAUAGUGCAGCAGCUAUAAAAGAAAGUCUGUUCGAC
RNAcentral lists this ribosomal RNA (433 nucleotides) under Necora puber. RNAcentral's name for it is "partial 16S ribosomal RNA". It matches the Rfam family "Bacterial large subunit ribosomal RNA", at positions 1951 to 2585 of the family's 2925-position model. The record is from RNAcentral. Lineage: Eukaryota; Metazoa; Arthropoda; Malacostraca; Decapoda; Polybiidae.